UUCGUGUGAACAGUGGUUGAUCACGAGUUAGUCGGUCCUAAGUUCAAGGCGAAAGCCGAAAAUUUUCAAGUAAAUUGUAAAUUUAUAUAUAUAUUUGUUAAUUUAAAACACUUGAAUAAUUUUGAACGAAAGGGAAUACGGUUCCAAUUCCGUAACCUGUUGAGUAUCCGUUUGUUAUUAAAUAUGGGCCUCGUGCUCAUCCUGGCAACAGGAACGACCAUAAAGAAGCCGUCGAGAGAUAUCGGAAGAGUUUUCUUUUCUGUUUUAUAGCCGUACUACCAUGGAAGUCUUUCGCAGAGAGAUAUGGUAGAUGGGCUAGAAGAGCAUGACAUAUACUGUUGUGUCGAUAUUUUCUCCUCGGACCUUGAAAAUUUAUGGUGGGGAUACGCAAACUUCUCAACAGGCCGUACCAAUAUCCGCAGCUGGUCUCCAAGGUGAAGAGUCUCUAGUCGAUAGAAUA
Molecule: ribosomal RNA, 460 nt
Filed under: Dichaetophora sp. TPS1 (Gao)
Lineage: Eukaryota; Metazoa; Arthropoda; Insecta; Diptera; Drosophilidae
Description: partial 28S ribosomal RNA
Rfam family: Eukaryotic large subunit ribosomal RNA
Source: RNAcentral